AGGUCUGAGGUGGAAGUGUGGCGACACAUGGAGCUGACAGAUACUAAUCGAUCGAGGACUUAACCUAA
Molecule: ribosomal RNA, 68 nt
Filed under: Bacillus swezeyi
Lineage: Bacteria; Bacillati; Bacillota; Bacilli; Caryophanales; Bacillaceae
Description: partial 23S ribosomal RNA
Source: RNAcentral